UCCGUCCUACGGGACGCAGCAGUGGGGAAUAUUGGGCAAUGGGCGCAAGCCUGACCCAGCGACGCCGCGUGAGGGAAGACGGUCUUCGGAUUGUAAACCUCUUUCAGCAGGGAAGACAAAAGGACGGUACCUGCAGAAGAAGCCACGGCUAACUACGUGCCAGCAGCCGCGGUAAUACGUAGGUGGCAAGCGUUAAUCGGAAUUACUGGGCGUAAAGCGCUCGUAGGCGGUAUGUCAAGUCAAGGGUGAAAUCCCCGCGCUCAACGUGGGAACUGCCUUUGAAACUGGCAAACUGGAGUGUGUGG
This 305-nucleotide ribosomal RNA is filed under the name uncultured bacterium. RNAcentral's name for it is "bacterial SSU rRNA". It matches the Rfam family "Bacterial small subunit ribosomal RNA", at positions 333 to 653 of the family's 1533-position model. The record is from RNAcentral.